UACGGGGGGAGCAAGCGUUGUUCGGAUUUACUGGGCGUAAAGGGCGCGUAGGCGGUCGUGACAAGUCACUUGUGAAAUCUCCGGGCUUAACUCGGAACGGUCAAGUGAUACUGUCGGACUAGAGUACAGAAGGGGCAACUGGAAUUCUCGGUGUAGCGGUGAAAUGCGUAGAUAUCGUGAGGAAGACCAGUGGCGAAGGCGGGUCUCUGGACAGUUCCUGACACUGAGGCACGAAGGCCAGGGGAGCAAACGGG
This 254-nucleotide ribosomal RNA is filed under the name uncultured bacterium. RNAcentral describes it as "partial 16S ribosomal RNA". It matches the Rfam family "Bacterial small subunit ribosomal RNA", at positions 524 to 776 of the family's 1533-position model. The record is from RNAcentral.